This 109-nucleotide ribosomal RNA is filed under the name uncultured bacterium. Its description in RNAcentral is "partial 16S ribosomal RNA". It matches the Rfam family "Bacterial small subunit ribosomal RNA", at positions 1367 to 1482 of the family's 1533-position model. The record is from RNAcentral.
UACGUUCCCGGACCUUGUACACACCGCCCGUCAAGCCAUGGAAGCCGGGGGUACCUGAAGAUGGUGACUUUACUGGGAGCUAUCUAAGGUAAAACUGGUGACUGGGGCU